GAGGUUUUAGCUUAAUUAAAGUGUCUGGGUUGCAUUCAGAAGAUGUAUGUUUUAACUUACAAGCCUU
RNAcentral lists this transfer RNA (67 nucleotides) under Hemidactylus mabouia. RNAcentral describes it as "tRNA-Ala". It matches the Rfam family "tRNA". From Rfam's summary of the family: Transfer RNA (tRNA) molecules are approximately 80 nucleotides in length. Their secondary structure includes four short double-helical elements and three loops (D, anti-codon, and T loops). Further hydrogen bonds mediate the characteristic L-shaped molecular structure. tRNAs have two regions of fundamental functional importance: the anti-codon, which is responsible for specific mRNA codon recognition, and the 3' end, to which the tRNAs corresponding amino acid is attached (by aminoacyl-tRNA synthetases). tRNAs cope with the degeneracy of the genetic code in two manners: having more than one tRNA (with a specific anti-codon) for a particular amino acid; and 'wobble' base-pairing, i.e. permitting non-standard base-pairing at the 3rd anti-codon position. Lineage: Eukaryota; Metazoa; Chordata; Lepidosauria; Squamata; Gekkonidae. The record is from RNAcentral.